Molecule: transfer RNA, 84 nt
Filed under: Candidatus Amphirhobacter heronislandensis
Lineage: Bacteria; Pseudomonadati; Pseudomonadota; Gammaproteobacteria; Candidatus Tethybacterales; Candidatus Tethybacteraceae
Description: Betaproteobacteria bacterium AqS2 tRNA
Rfam family: tRNA
About the family: Transfer RNA (tRNA) molecules are approximately 80 nucleotides in length. Their secondary structure includes four short double-helical elements and three loops (D, anti-codon, and T loops).
Source: Rfam by way of RNAcentral
GGAGAGUUGGCAGAGCGGUCAAAUGCGUCGGUUUUGAAAACCGAAGUGGAUUUUCCACCGGGGGUUCGAAUCCCUCACUCUCCG